UGGGGAAUAUUGGACAAUGGGCGCAAGCCUGAUCCAGCCAUGCCGCGUGAGUGAUGAAGGCCCUAGGGUUGUAAAGCUCUUUCACCGGUGAAGAUAAGGACGGUAACCGGAGAAGAAGCCCCGGCUAACUUCGUGCCAGCAGCCGCGGUAAUACGAAGGGGGCUAGCGUUGUUCGGAUUUACUGGGCGUAAAGCGCACGUAGGCGGACUAUUAAGUCAGGGGUGAAAUCCCGGGGCUCAACCCCGGAACUGCCUUUGAUACUGGUAGUCUUGAGUGCGAGAGAGGUGAGUGGAAUUCCGAGUGUAGAGGUGAAAUUCGUAGAUAUUCGGAGGAACACCAGUGGCGAAGGCGGCUCACUGGCUCGAUACUGACGCUGAGGUGCGAAAGCGUGGGGAGCAAACAGG
RNAcentral lists this ribosomal RNA (404 nucleotides) under Actinomycetes bacterium. RNAcentral describes it as "Actinobacteria bacterium partial 16S ribosomal RNA". It matches the Rfam family "Bacterial small subunit ribosomal RNA", at positions 355 to 776 of the family's 1533-position model. The record is from RNAcentral. Lineage: Bacteria; Bacillati; Actinomycetota; Actinomycetes.